GUGAACCCUGAAAUGUAGUCUCCUCUUAAAGUUAUCAGCAGGAAUCAGGGUAGGAUUCCUUCUGGGAUUCUCCAUUCUCCAUUCUCCAGGGCUUAUUCUUGAGCUAACUGUAAUUUUGCAUCUUGAGCAUGAUGACGUUGUGUGUGUUGCUAAGAUGCCUGGAUCUCCCACUCACCAAAAUCUUCUUCAAUCAGACUCUCUUUCUUGGAUUUCAUGGGUGGAAAGACCCUGGCCAGCUCCCUGGGGUGGUUCAUCACACCCAAGUCUUUCCUGAUGAACUUGCCUCAAGUCUUUGAAGACACAUUUAACACAUCACAUCACCCUUGUUAUACUGUGCUAAUGCUUGACUGCUGAGAAAUCUUGAUGCUGGAUGAUCUCACAUUCUACUUUCUUCAAGAAUCUUCACAAACUUAAACAAUUGGGAAUGGGUGUGUGUGUGUGUGUGUGUGUGUGUGUGUGUGUGUGUGUGUGUCUAUGUAUGUCCUUUCUUCCUCUGGCAAUCAUGAGCCUAUUUCCCAGAGCCCAUUGAAGUACCUACUACAUUCCCAUAGUAACUAUAUUUCCAGAAUGUUCCUGGUCCAAAUCAGAUUUGAGAUUGCCUCUGGUUCAUCCCUACACGGCUCCUGCCUUUGGUAGAGGUGCUCUGGGCAAUAUGAUGCUCAACAAAUAUUAUCUCCCUAUGCCUAAAGCCCAAAAUCACCACUGCCAUUCUAAGUUGUCAAUAUAACAUGUAAGAAACAUUCAUUAAAUGUUGUAAGUUGAAAGUGUUUAUUUACCUCCACUGUGUGCCAAAUGCCACAAAAUUUAUAGUAUGGAGAAAAAAUACAUAAAUCCUUG
RNAcentral lists this long non-coding RNA (837 nucleotides) under Heterocephalus glaber (naked mole-rat). RNAcentral describes it as "lncRNA (ENSHGLG00100039828.1)". Lineage: Eukaryota; Metazoa; Chordata; Mammalia; Rodentia; Bathyergidae. The record is from RNAcentral.